Lytechinus variegatus (green sea urchin) is the source of this 250-nucleotide long non-coding RNA. RefSeq lists it as uncharacterized. The record is from RefSeq and is a predicted model, not a curated record. NCBI's taxonomy places the organism in Eukaryota, Metazoa, Echinodermata, Echinoidea, Temnopleuroida, Toxopneustidae. The transcript has 2 exons.
AACACAUGUCCCUACCAGGAGUUAUCAAUGGCUGGUCAUCGUAGACCGUGUACGCGAUCCUACACACGUAUGGUCAAAGUAUGGAGACCAAACUGUGGAUACUCAAAUCAGUGGUGCGUUGGCUACGAGAGAAGAACGGCCUACUACACGUCGUACCGCAUCGUGUACGAGAGGACUUACGAGACAAAAUACAAAUGCUGCCACGGCUGGUCCAGGCUCAACGGCGAGGCAGGCUGCCAAUAUCGUAAGU